GUUGGAUAAACCAUAUAUGCCUUUAAGAUAUUUACUCCGGACAUCAUUAGAGACAAAUAUUAAUGCUUGUUUUCCUCUCUUUAUGGACUUCGAGUUUGGCUAUUCUGUCACAUGU
Non-coding RNA from Arabis alpina (gray rockcress), 115 nucleotides. Lineage: Eukaryota; Viridiplantae; Streptophyta; Magnoliopsida; Brassicales; Brassicaceae. The record is from Rfam.